UGUCCUUAGUACGAGAGGACCGGGAUGGACGCACCGCUGGUGUACCAGUUGUCUUGCCAAAGGCAUAGCUGGGUAGCUACGUGCGGACGGGAUAAGUGCUGAAAGCAUCUAAGCAUGAAGCCCCCCUCAAGAUGAGAUUUCCUUUUGCUUCGGCAAGUAAGAUCCCUGAAAGAUGAUCAGGUAGAUAGGUUCGAGGUGGAAGCGUGGCGACACGUGCAGCUGACGAAUACUAAUCGAUCGAGGACUUAACCCAA
Molecule: ribosomal RNA, 254 nt
Filed under: Sutcliffiella horikoshii
Lineage: Bacteria; Bacillati; Bacillota; Bacilli; Caryophanales; Bacillaceae
Description: Bacillus horikoshii partial 23S ribosomal RNA
Rfam family: Bacterial large subunit ribosomal RNA
Source: RNAcentral